GCAAGUAUAGUAUAAAGGUUAAUAUGUCAAAUUUCCAAUUUGAAGCUGCGGGUUUGAUUCCUGCUACUUGUA
This 72-nucleotide transfer RNA is filed under the name Phakopsora pachyrhizi. Its description in RNAcentral is "tRNA-Gly". It matches the Rfam family "tRNA". From Rfam's summary of the family: Transfer RNA (tRNA) molecules are approximately 80 nucleotides in length. Lineage: Eukaryota; Fungi; Basidiomycota; Pucciniomycetes; Pucciniales; Phakopsoraceae. The record is from RNAcentral.